GACGAACGCUGGCGGCGUGCUUAACACAUGCAAGUCGAACGGAAAGUCCCUGCUUUUUUGGGCUCCUCUAGUUGCGAACGGGUGAGUUACCCUUGAGUUACCUGUCCUUGACUUUGGGAUAACUUCAUGAAACUUGGUCUAAUACCGCAUAGGAUCUCCUGCUGUUUGGUGGGGGUUCGAAAGUUUCGGUGGUUGGGGAUGUACUCGCGGCCCAUCAGCUUGUUGGGGGGGUAGUCGCUUACCAAGGCUUUGACGGGUAGCCGGGCUGAGCGGGUGACCGGACCAGCUGGACUGGAAAUACGACACGGACUAGACUGGGACGCAGCAGAGGGGAAGAUUGCACAAUGGGCGGGAGGCUGAUGCAGCAACGCAGCGUGGGGGAUGAGGGCAUUCGGGUUGUGAACCGAUUUCGCCUGUGACGAAGCGUGAGUGACGGUAAUGGGUAAAGAAGCACCGGCUAACUACGUG
This 468-nucleotide ribosomal RNA is filed under the name uncultured bacterium. RNAcentral describes it as "partial 16S ribosomal RNA". It matches the Rfam family "Bacterial small subunit ribosomal RNA", at positions 28 to 507 of the family's 1533-position model. The record is from RNAcentral.